This 840-nucleotide ribosomal RNA is filed under the name uncultured Acidobacteriota bacterium. RNAcentral describes it as "uncultured Acidobacteria bacterium partial 16S ribosomal RNA". It matches the Rfam family "Bacterial small subunit ribosomal RNA", at positions 1 to 816 of the family's 1533-position model. The record is from RNAcentral. Lineage: Bacteria; Pseudomonadati; Acidobacteriota.
GGCCGCGGGAAUUCGAUUAGAGUUUGAUCCUGGCUCAGGAUCAACGCUGGCGGCGUGCCUAACACAUGCAAGUCGAACGCGAAAGUGGAGCAAUCCAUGAGUAGAGUGGCAAACGGGUGAGUAACACGUGGGUGACCUGCCUUCGAGCGGGGGAUAACGUCCCGAAAGGGACGCUAAUACCGCAUAACAUCCUGCCUUUUAAGAGGUGGAGAUCAAAGCCGGGGAUCGCAAGACCUGGCACUUGAAGAGGGGCCCGCGCCUGAUUAGCUAGUUGGUGGGGUAAUGGCUCACCAAGGCAACGAUCAGUAUCCGGCCUGAGAGGGCGGACGGACACACUGGGACUGAGACACGGCCCAGACUCCUACGGGAGGCAGCAGUGGGGAAUUGUUCGCAAUGGGCGCAAGCCUGACGACGCAACGCCGCGUGGAGGAUGAAGACCUUCGGGUCGUAAACUCCUUUCGAUCGAAACGAAUGGUUUCCGGGUGAACAAUCCGGAAAAGUGACGGUACCGAGAGAAGAAGCCCGGCUAACUCCGUGCCAGCAGCCGCGGUAAUACGGGGGGGGCAAGCGUGGUUCGGAAUUACUGGGCGUGAAGGGCUCNUAGGUUGCCAACUAAGUCAGACGUGAAAUCCCUCACCUUAACUGGGGGAACGGGUCUGAUACUGGAUGGGUUGAGUUCGGGAGAGGGAUGCGGAAUCCCCGCGUACCGGGGAAAUGCGUAAAAUUCUGGAGGAACACCGCGGGCAAAGGGGGCCCUGCAACAAUACUGACACGAGGGGCCGAAACCACGGGAGACAACGGGAUCAAUGCCGUGCGACCCGACGCCAAGACAGAGAGGGC